CGGGGUGCAGCAGGCGCGAAAACUUUACAAUGCUGGAAACAGCGAUAAGGGGACCUCGAGUGCCAGGUUACAAAUCUGGCUGUCGUGAUGCCUAAAAAGCAUUGCAUAGCAAGGGCCGGGCAAGACCGGUGCCAGCCGCCGCGGUAACACCGGCGGCUCGAGUGGUAACCGUUAUUAUUGGGUCUAAAGGGUCUGUAGCCGGCCGGAUAAGUCUCUUGGGAAAUCCAGCAGCUCAACUGUUGGGCUUUCAGGAGAUACUGUCUGGCUCGAGGCCGGGAGAGGUGAGAGGUACUUCAGGGGUAGGGGUGAAAUCUUGUAAUCCUUGAAGGACCACCAGUGGCGAAGGCGUCUCACCAGAACGGACCUGACGGCAAGGGACGAAAGCUAGGGGCACGAACCGGAUUAGAUACCCGGGUAGUCCUAGCCGUAAACGAUACUCGCUAGGUGUCGGCCACGGUGCGACCGUUGUCGGUGCCGUAGGGAAGCCGUGAAGCGAGCCACCUGGGAAGUACGGCCGCAAGGCUGAAACUUAAAGGAAUUGGCGGGGGAGCACAAGGGCGAAUCGC
Molecule: ribosomal RNA, 566 nt
Filed under: uncultured archaeon
Lineage: Archaea
Description: bacterial SSU rRNA
Rfam family: Archaeal small subunit ribosomal RNA
Source: RNAcentral